UACGUAGGUGGCAAGCGUUGUCCGGAUUUACUGGGCGUAAAGGGCGUGCAGGCGGUCUGCUAAGUCUAGGGUGAAAGCUCCCGGCUCAACUGGGAGAGGUCCUUGGAUACUGGCGGACUUGAGGGAGGUAGAGGAGAGUGGAAUUCCCAGUGUAGAGGUGAAAUUCGUAGAUAUUCGCAAGAACACCAGUGGCGAAGGCGGCUCACUGGCCCGGUACUGACGCUGAGGUGCGAAAGCGUGGGGAGCAAACAGG
This 253-nucleotide ribosomal RNA is filed under the name uncultured bacterium. Its description in RNAcentral is "partial 16S ribosomal RNA". It matches the Rfam family "Bacterial small subunit ribosomal RNA", at positions 524 to 776 of the family's 1533-position model. The record is from RNAcentral.